Long non-coding RNA from Lacerta agilis (Sand lizard), 257 nucleotides. RefSeq lists it as uncharacterized. The transcript is spliced from 2 exons. NCBI's taxonomy places the organism in Eukaryota, Metazoa, Chordata, Lepidosauria, Squamata, Lacertidae. The record is from RefSeq and is a predicted model, not a curated record.
UCAGCCACUGAGCUUCGGUCCCUCCCCAGGAAAAACACAGGGAGCUGAUUGAUGCCAAGUCAGAAACCUUGGGUGCAUCUAGCUCAGUAGUGUCGACACAGGCCGGCAGCAGAUUUCUCACAAUGAAUAUUUGUUUGAAUAAGGAAUCUGGAAACUCCAGGACUGACCAAACAUCUCACAAUUUAAUAAGCACAUCACAAAACUGAAGCUGUGGUCAGGUGAGUCACAAGACUUCAGGGGACAUAAUAAAGUGGAAG